UUGGGCAAGCUGGGCAAAAAUGUUGACUCUCAGUCCACCCUCAUGACUCUGUCUUCCUGUAAGAGACUUGGGUGUGGGAAAGCAUUAUUUUUGGUGAUUCUGGUGAAGGUAUACAAAGCAUGUUAUAUAUCAUCUCACUUAAUAUGCCUUUUGAGAGUUCUGCAAGGAGACUGAAGUGCAGGGCCCCUGCCGAGCUUUUAUCCCUAGGUGGUAUUAU
Molecule: non-coding RNA, 217 nt
Organism: Phascolarctos cinereus (koala)
Lineage: Eukaryota; Metazoa; Chordata; Mammalia; Diprotodontia; Phascolarctidae
Source: RefSeq, a predicted model, not a curated record